AUUGAACGCUAGCGGGAUGCCUUACACAUGCAAGUCGAACGGAGUGGCGAACGGGUGAGUAAUGUAUCGGAACGUGCCCAGUAGCGGGGGAUAACUACGCGAAAGCGUAGCUAAUACCGAAUACGAUGGGAGCGGCCGAUAUCGGAUGAGCGAGUUGGUGGGGUAACGGCUCACCAAGGAGACGAUCCGUAGCUGGUUUGAGAGGACGACCAGCCACACUGUGACUGAGACACGGCCCAGACUCCUACGGUGGGCAGCAGUGGGGAAUUUUGGACAAUUGGGGAAACCCUGAUCCAGCCAUCCCGCGUGUGCGAUGAAGGCCUUCGGGUUUUAAAGCACUUUUGGCAGGAAAGCGGUACCUGCCGAAUAAGCACCGGCUAACUACGUGCCAGCAGCCGCGGUAAUAC
RNAcentral lists this ribosomal RNA (407 nucleotides) under uncultured bacterium. RNAcentral describes it as "partial 16S ribosomal RNA". It matches the Rfam family "Bacterial small subunit ribosomal RNA", at positions 30 to 526 of the family's 1533-position model. The record is from RNAcentral.